This is a non-coding RNA of Oryza sativa Japonica Group (Japanese rice), 2028 nucleotides long. The record is from RefSeq and is a predicted model, not a curated record. NCBI's taxonomy places the organism in Eukaryota, Viridiplantae, Streptophyta, Magnoliopsida, Poales, Poaceae.
UGGAGUAACGAUGGUGUGGUGCUGGUGUAUAGAGCGACAGUUAGUUGCCAGGGAUCCAAGAAGUUUAUCGUCGUGAGUACUGCUGGCAAGUGGUUUACCAGUUAUCGUAAAGAAUUUUAAAGUGAAAAUUUUGAGAUAAAAGGUGGAGCACUCCGUUAUCUCCCCCUUCCCUUGGCGUAAAACAAAAUCUCCCGUCUCGUCGUCGCCGCCUCCGCUCCUUGCGCCAUCUCGCGGCUGAACAGGGGAGGGGCGCCGAUCUCCAUUGGCGAGCAGAGCAGGGCGCGGGAGGGGAGGGGAUCCUGAAAACACUUGGUUUCCCAAAUGAAGCACAUAUUCAAGAUAAUUGCUAUGCUGGUGGCAGUCUCAGCUAUUUGGAUUGCCCUUCUUGAAACCGCGACUGUUCCUCGAAGUUAUACUUGGUUGCUUCCCAUCUACUUGGUAGUGGCACUUGGAUGCUAUGGCCUUUUUAUGGUUGGAUUUGGGCUUAUGUUCUUCCCAACUUGCCCGCAAGAAGCUGUACUACUACAGCAGGAUAUCUUGGAGGCAAAGGAAUUCCUAUCAAAGAAAGGUGUUGAUGUUGGCUCUGAAUAAUGUCAAGAUCGAUGAUAGAUGACUUGAGGCUAGUUUGGGGACAACUUUGUGCUCCCUUAUAUGAGUUGUUUUGGGGGCUUUAUAGCUAGGUAUAUGUCACUUCGUAAUGAUCAUUUUGCUAACACAAUUUUUCAUGGUGAGUCCUUGUUACAUACUGAAUUUAAGACCUUUUUCUUUUAGGAAAUAUUUUUUAUGGAAAAUGAAAUAUGAUUGUGAAGUAGGAAUGGUCUGUUGACAAGUGCAUUACUGUUCAGGGUGUUUGUCUCCUCAUUUCUGGAUUUCCCUCUAGUGGUUAUGUAUCAAUUGUGCAGUGUAAUAUUACCUUGUCCCUGGCACAGUGCUGAAACCGACUGCCUGAAAUACUCUGUACAUCAGAUCGUCCAUAGAAAUUUCUCUGAAUCUUUUGCAUUACAACUUGUCAGGCAGGCACGAAGCCUUGACCAAUAUUACAAAACAAUAGUAAAAUCAGACAUGAUACACGUAUACUUUUAAAUUAUGCAGUAAACCUAUGCUAGUUCUUAACCCUAUCUUGCUUAUCUGACAGUAAAAAUAUCACACAUCAUCACAGUUCACACCAAACCUUGCCCCUAUGAACCAGCUAUCACACUGUACAUAGUAAAACAUUUUCAGUUACAGCACAAUUGUGUGCAGAUGCAGCAGACAGAAUCCUACCUACUACUACCUUGAGGUAGUAGCAACCAACGACGAGACCUCCUUAUUGGAGGCUGGUUCAUCAUCGUCUCCGACUCUCCGCCUCCUUGGAGCCCCUGCUUGCAAGAGUUCUCAGUGGUUUGUGGUCAGAAAUUGAUUUAUUUUGGUAUGAAUGAAGUAUGUAUCUUAUGUGCAUGUUCAGAAGCAAUGGCAGAUGAAGAAGGAAGGCUUGUAUGAGUAGAUGACAAGGCCAGCUGCCAUGCCAGCAAAAGCAACGAAGCAAAUCCAAUCAACCUGCAAAUGCUCAAAAUUUGAUUAAUAUCAAUUUCAAUUUUAAGAUUGAAGUAUUGGCAUGAGGUUAUGGAGGGAGGAAUUGAUGUUCAGAGACCUCAUGGUAAGCGAAGAUAAGGAUUAGAACAGCCCACAUGUCCGAGGUCAAAAGCGAGAGGUUGAGCUUCAGCAUUGUUGCCCCACAUAUCUGAAGCAUUCAGCCCACAUAUCUGAAGUUACAUACAACAUUCAGGAAUUUUAUGAAUUUGUGCACAAGAGGAUCAUGGUUAGUACCUUCAAUAUAAUCGGUAUUGUUGAGUUGAAGAAGAAUAUUGUUACCGCAAAAAAUCCGAUGAAAGGUAGAAUCUGAAGAAAAAAAAGAGAGAGAAGGUUCAUGAAUAAAAAUCAUGGCUAACUGAUCAUCUAUAAUAAUGCAUCCCCUUCAUGCUUAUUAGAUUUUUAGACAUAGAAUAAAAAAUAACCUAGAACUGAAACAUCAAUUUUACCAAUUAAAAA